Molecule: ribosomal RNA, 384 nt
Filed under: uncultured bacterium
Lineage: Bacteria
Description: bacterial SSU rRNA
Rfam family: Bacterial small subunit ribosomal RNA
Source: RNAcentral
AUUGAACGCUGGCGGCAUGCCUUACACAUGCAAGUCGAACGGCAGCGGACCUUCGGGUGCCGGCGAGUGGCGAACGGGUGAGUAAUAUAUCGGAACGUACCUUUCAGUGGGGGAUAACGUAGCGAAAGUUACGCUAAUACCGCAUAUUCUGUGAGCAGGAAAGCGGGGGAUCGCAAGACCUCGCGCGAAUGGAGCGGCCGAUAUCAGAUUAGGUAGUUGGUGGGGUAAAGGCUCACCAAGCCAACGAUCUGUAGCUGGUCUGAGAGGACGACCAGCCACACUGGAACUGAGACACGGUCCAGACUCCUACGGGAGGCAGCAGUGGGGAAUUUUGGACAAUGGGCGCAAGCCUGAUCCAGCCAUUCCGCGUGCAGGAUGAAGGCC